GUGUUUGAUGACUAACUUC
RNAcentral lists this non-coding RNA (19 nucleotides) under Rattus norvegicus (Norway rat). Lineage: Eukaryota; Metazoa; Chordata; Mammalia; Rodentia; Muridae. The record is from RNAcentral.